UGGUGGAGUGAUUUGUCUGGUUAAUUCCGAUAACGAACGAGACCUUAACCUGCUAACUAGUCUUGCUCAUUUCAUGGGUACUGACUUCUUAGAGGGACUAUGUGUUAAAAGCACAUGGAAGUUUGAGGCAAUAACA
This 136-nucleotide ribosomal RNA is filed under the name uncultured eukaryote. RNAcentral describes it as "partial 18S ribosomal RNA". It matches the Rfam family "Eukaryotic small subunit ribosomal RNA", at positions 1299 to 1458 of the family's 1831-position model. The record is from RNAcentral.